AGCCCAGCAACUCCUAUCCCUACCUCCUCGUGGUACUGGCCGGGGUACGAGUAACCUUGGGGAAGAUCGGGUAACCAACCCCCGGUGGGAACUUUGGUCGUAUGCUGACAGGGAAGG
Aedes aegypti (yellow fever mosquito) is the source of this 117-nucleotide non-coding RNA. The record is from Rfam. Lineage: Eukaryota; Metazoa; Arthropoda; Insecta; Diptera; Culicidae.